Molecule: ribosomal RNA, 497 nt
Filed under: uncultured bacterium
Lineage: Bacteria
Description: partial 16S ribosomal RNA
Rfam family: Bacterial small subunit ribosomal RNA
Source: RNAcentral
GAUGAACGCUGGCGGCGUGCCUAAUACAUGCAAGUCGAGCGAACAGACGAGGAGCUUGCUCCUCUGACGUUAGCGGCGGACGGGUGAGUAACACGUGGAUAACCUACCUAUAAGACUGGGAUAACUUCGGGAAACCGGAGCUAAUACCGGAUAAUAUAUUGAACCGCAUGGUUCAAUAGUGAAAGACGGUUUUGCUGUCACUUAUAGAUGGAUCCGCGCCGCAUUAGCUAGUUGGUAAGGUAACGGCCUACCAAGGCAACGAUGCGUAGCCGACCUGAGAGGGUGAUCGGCCACACUGGAACUGAGACACGGUCCAGACUCCUACGGGAGGCAGCAGUAGGGAAUCUUCGGCAAUGGGCGAAAGCCUGACGGAGCAACGCCGCGUGAGUGAUGAAGGUCUUCGGAUCGUAAAACUCUGUUAUUAGGAAAGAAAAAAUGUGUAAGUAACUAUGCACGUCUUGACGGUACCUAAUCAGAAAGCAACGGCUAACUACGUG